CCCUUAGAUGUUCUGGGCCGCACGCGCGCUACACUGACGGAGCCAACGAGUAUUUUCCUUGUCCGGAAGGACUGGGUAAUCCUGUGAAACUUUGUCGUGCUGGGGAUAGAGCAUUGUAAUUAUUGCUCUUCAACGAGGAAUUCCUAGUAAGCGUGAGUCAUCAGCUCACGUUGAAUACGUCCCUGCCCUUUGUACACACCGCCCGUCGCUCCUACCGAUUGAGUGGUCCGGUGAGGCUUUGGGAUCUGAGCGGAAAGAGCGUUUCGCUGUUUCUGCUCGGAAAACUCAGUCGAACCUUAUCAUUUAGAGGAAGGAGAAGUCGUAACA
This 327-nucleotide ribosomal RNA is filed under the name uncultured eukaryote. RNAcentral describes it as "partial 18S ribosomal RNA". It matches the Rfam family "Eukaryotic small subunit ribosomal RNA", at positions 1470 to 1796 of the family's 1831-position model. The record is from RNAcentral.